RNAcentral lists this unclassified non-coding RNA (433 nucleotides) under Hevea brasiliensis (rubber tree). The record is from RNAcentral. Lineage: Eukaryota; Viridiplantae; Streptophyta; Magnoliopsida; Malpighiales; Euphorbiaceae.
CUGAAACAGCACGAUGGCAAAUUCCACAUUUAUCUUGUUGGAGUUUUGAGGAAAUGAACACCAUUUCAUGACAGAGAUUGACUUUUCGACAGAAUUCUUCAGCUUGAACUGAGGAAACCUCCAGAAAGAAGAGAGGAGCAUAAUAGUCCACCAAAGUGAUGCACUGUUGCUUGAAAGAAGGCACUUGAGAACAGGCUACAUGAAGAACGUCAAUAAUUUCGGUCUGGGUCUUGUUUUCAGUUAGGUAAUCAAGUGCUUGGGAAGCAAAGUCCUCACACAAUGUGCAAACUUGAUUAUUCCUGGUAAUUCCAUUAGAAGCUUGAUCUUCCCUCUCUUGCUCAUGGUCUUUCACUUGUGUAGCUGCUAUAUCAGUGAUCACCAUACUUUUAUAAGAAAGCCUAGUGUCUGCCAUUUGUCUAGCAGCACAAGCCCA